AGCAGCCGCGGUAAUUCCAGCUCCAAUAGCGUAUAUUAAAGUUGUUGCAGUUAAAAAGCUCGUAGUUGAAUUUCGGGAUCAAGUCGUCGGUCGUGCUCAGGUACGUACUGGCGUCAUUGAUUUCUCCCUUCUGACGAACCAUGAUGUCAUUAACUUGGUGUCAUGGGAAAUCAGGACUGUUACUUUGAAAAAUUAGAGUGUUUAAAGCAGGCUCACGCUUGAAUACAUUAGCAUGGAAUAAUGAAAUGGGACGUUCGAUCCUAUUUUGUUGGUUUUAGGAUCAACGUAAUGAUUAAUAGGGAUAGUUGGGGGCAUUAGUAUUCAAUUGUCAGAGGUGAAAUUCUUGGAUUUAUUGAAGACUAACUACUGCGAAAGCAUUUGCCAAGGAUGUUUUCAUUAAUCAAGAACGAAAGUUAGGGGAUCGAAGACGAUCAGAUACCGUCGUAGUCUUAACCAUAAACUAUGCCGACUAGGGAUCGGAUGAUGUUAAUUUUUAAUGA
Molecule: ribosomal RNA, 500 nt
Filed under: uncultured Glomus
Lineage: Eukaryota; Fungi; Glomeromycota; Glomeromycetes; Glomerales; Glomeraceae
Description: SSU rRNA
Rfam family: Eukaryotic small subunit ribosomal RNA
Source: RNAcentral